This 510-nucleotide long non-coding RNA is filed under the name Vulpes vulpes (red fox). Its description in RNAcentral is "lncRNA (ENSVVUG00000004489.1)". The record is from RNAcentral. Lineage: Eukaryota; Metazoa; Chordata; Mammalia; Carnivora; Canidae.
UUCUAAGUGGCAAGGCCAUGGAGGUCAGAAGAUUGCUUGCACUCUACUAUUUCUCUGUUCGUAAUUCCUUGCCAUCCCACUGAUCUUGACAAGGAAACUGUGGCUUUCACUGAUCCUUGGUGUGGAGUACUUUAGAUGACCUUGUUCAAUAAUAAAAAUCAAAACCAGCAAAGAAUGGUUCGGUAGGCAAGAGAUAGAUCAUCUUGGAAUGAAUGUGUCAAGACUCCAACCAGGAGGUUAACACUUUUCAGAUCAAGUCUACAAAUAAUUGUGUUAAAUUGCUUUUGUUUAAUACUUCAUACAUUGCAAAAUUGCUUUUAUAUUUGCAUUUGAGUGUUCCAACAACUCUUGAGAAAGGCUGAAGAAGUAUAAUUUUUUCUUUUUUAUAGAAGAAGAAAUGCAUGACUUAAAUACAGAUUUUUAACUUCUAUUCCACUAUUCUGAUGCCACAAUAUUCUUUUCCUUUAUAAUCAUUCAAUAAAUAAUCUCAACCUUUUGCCUAUUUUUACA